This 421-nucleotide ribosomal RNA is filed under the name uncultured Methanofollis sp. Its description in RNAcentral is "bacterial SSU rRNA". It matches the Rfam family "Archaeal small subunit ribosomal RNA", at positions 322 to 747 of the family's 1478-position model. Lineage: Archaea; Methanobacteriati; Methanobacteriota; Methanomicrobia; Methanomicrobiales; Methanomicrobiaceae. The record is from RNAcentral.
CCUAUGGGGGGCAGCAGGCGCGAAAACUUUACAAUGCAGGAAACUGUGAUAAGGGAACCCCGAGUGCCUGUAUGGACAGGCUGUUCAGGUGCGCAAAAAACACCUGGAGAAAGGGCCGGGCAAGACCGGUGCCAGCCGCCGCGGUAAUACCGGCGGCUCGAGUGGUGGCCACUAUUACUGGGCUUAAAGCGUCCGUAGCUGGGUAGUUAAGUCUCUGGGGAAAUCUUUCGGCUCAACCGAAAGGCGUCUCAGGGAUACUGGCUACCUUGGGAUCGGGAGAGGUGAGAGGUACUCUGGGGGUAGGAGUGAAAUCCUGUUAUCCUCAGGGGACCACCUGUGGCGAAGGCGUCUCACCAGAACGACUCCGACAGUGAGGGACGAAAGCUGGGGGAGCAAACCGGAUUAGAUACCCGCGUAGUCC